UACUUCAUUUUUAAAAUUUCG
This 21-nucleotide non-coding RNA is filed under the name Caenorhabditis elegans. Lineage: Eukaryota; Metazoa; Nematoda; Chromadorea; Rhabditida; Rhabditidae. The record is from RNAcentral.